UUGAACUCUCUGUCUCAUUUUUCACAAAAAAUCACUUGGACCAAUCGAUUGUGGUGGAAUUCGGUCGAUUGGUUGGACUCCCUGUAAUUGAUUUUUCUUAAAAGUUAAAGAGACCAAUCGAUUGUUAGCAGUGAAAAUUCAACCUUUCUUCACUAUUUAAGCUUAACCAAUUGAUUGUCUGACAAGGGAGCCCAUAACCAAUUGAUUAGUUCAUACAUUUCUUUAGAAAUUUUUACUUCUAAUAGGUUCUUUUCUCAAAUAACCAGUAUAAAACAUUUCAAUACUAAACAUAUAUUCCAUAUGAUUCUUCCCAUUCAUGAACUACAUAUUCACAAUGAUAAUAACGUCAACAUUCAACAAUAUGAAAAACCACAUCAAUCAUGAAAAUCUUGAGUGAUCCAUACUUUCAUGGAAAGAUAGAACACACAACAAAGUACAAUUAAUCCUAUGUCAUUAAUGCAAAACCUUAAUCUCUAUUGUAAGAAAGUUCUAACUAGAACCCACCUUAGAGGUGAAUAUGUUGAGAGAUGUUGAGAUGGGAUGAUGAAUCAAAGCUUUUUCUAUUUCCUUCUUCAAGUUACUUCUUCUUUUCUCAAGUUUUCAUUUCUUCUCCCCAAGCCUUUCCUUUCCUUUGCUUUCAUAUGUUUUCUUUUGUUCUUCUUACUGAUAUGUUGGGAAAGUAGAGAUAUAAAAAAGAGAUUGGAAUGAAACAUGUGGUUGAGAACUUGUGUUCAUAAAGGGAAAGAGAUAUUGAGUGGUGGAAAACACAAAUGAGAGAG
RNAcentral lists this long non-coding RNA (779 nucleotides) under Lathyrus oleraceus (garden pea). RNAcentral's name for it is "Pisum sativum (pea) long non-coding RNA (PSAT_LNC013377)". Lineage: Eukaryota; Viridiplantae; Streptophyta; Magnoliopsida; Fabales; Fabaceae. The record is from RNAcentral.